Molecule: ribosomal RNA, 436 nt
Filed under: uncultured bacterium
Lineage: Bacteria
Description: bacterial SSU rRNA
Rfam family: Bacterial small subunit ribosomal RNA
Source: RNAcentral
UCGAACGGAAGUAGCAAUACUUAGUGGCGAACGGGUGAGUAACACGUGAGCAACCUGCCUUAUACUCAGGGAUAACAGUUGGAAACGACUGCUAAUACCGGAUAAGACCACACUAUGGCAUCAUAGAGGGGUCAAAGUGCUUUAGCGGUAUGAGAUGGGCUCGCGUCCAAUUAGCUAGUUGGUGGGGUAACGGCCCACCAAGGCGACGAUUGGUAGCCGACUUGAGAGAGUGAUCGGCCACACUGGAACUGAGACACGGUCCAGACUCCUACGGGAGGCAGCAGUGGGGAAUAUUGGGCAAUGGAGGAAACUCUUUAACCCCCAGCAAUGCCGCGUGAGUGAUGAAGGUCUUUGGAUUGUAAAGCUCUUUGAUUGGGGAAGAAUAAAUGACGGUACCCAAAGAACAAGCCCCGGCUAACUAUGUGCCAGCCGCUGC